ACGCAUAAAUCGCAUCAGGCGCUGUCGUACGCCGGACCAACGAUGCAUCAUAACAUCUACUAGUUGUUAAAAAGGCGGCGGGGAAAGGAGCAUCCAUACGCGCACGCAAUUAGGACCCCGCCGUGAGAUGCGUCGGUGGCUGUGAGGCAGGUGGGGACAUGCCUGGGAGGCUGAAAGGGCAUAAAUCGCAUCAGGAGCCGUCGUACGCCGGACCAACGAUGCAUCAUAAUAUCAACUAGUUGUUAAAAAGGCGGCGAGGAACGCGUCUUCAUCAGUCACGCUCGCUAGGCAACCAUCAUGGGGAAGGGAUGUAAGACCGUCAUCCUCUGGGAUGGGUCGAACUACUCCCACUGGCUCGGCGACUUAGGCGAUUUCCUCGCAACAUCCAAGUUGAAGAGCUACAUCAACAGCCCG
RNAcentral lists this long non-coding RNA (414 nucleotides) under Volvox carteri. RNAcentral's name for it is "long non-coding RNA (VCAR_LNC003848)". The record is from RNAcentral. Lineage: Eukaryota; Viridiplantae; Chlorophyta; Chlorophyceae; Chlamydomonadales; Volvocaceae.